AUGAACGCUGGCGGCGUGCCUAAUACAUGCAAGUCGAGCGAACGGACGAGAAGCUCGCUUCUCUGAUGUUAGCGGCGGACGGGUGAGUAACACGUGGAUAACCUACCUAUAAGACUGGGAUAACUUCGGGAAACCGGAGCUAAUACCGGAUAAUAUUUUGAACCGCAUGGUUCAAAAGUGAAAGACGGUCUUGCUGUCACUUAUAGAUGGAUCCGCGCUGCAUUAGCUAGUUGGUAAGGUAACGGCUUACCAAGGCAACGAUGCAUAGCCGACCUGAGAGGGUGAUCGGCCACACUGGAACUGAGACACGGUCCAGACUCCUACGGGAGGCAGCAGUAGGGAAUCUUCCGCAAUGGGCGAAAGCCUGACGGAGCAACGCCGCGUGAGUGAUGAAGGUCUUCGGAUCGUAAAACUCUGUUAUUAGGGAAGAACAUAUGUGUAAGUAACUGUGCACAUCUUGACGGUACCUAAUCAGAAAGCCACGGCUAACUACGUG
RNAcentral lists this ribosomal RNA (496 nucleotides) under uncultured bacterium. Its description in RNAcentral is "partial 16S ribosomal RNA". It matches the Rfam family "Bacterial small subunit ribosomal RNA", at positions 29 to 507 of the family's 1533-position model. The record is from RNAcentral.